UACGUAGGGUGCUAGCGUUGUUCGGAAUUACUGGGCGUAAAGGGCUCGUAGGCGGCCAACUAAGUCAGACGUGAAAUCCCUCGGCUUAACCGGGGAACUGCGUCUGAUACUGGAUGGCUUGAGUUUGGGAGAGGGAUGCGGAAUUCCAGGUGUAGCGGUGAAAUGCGUAGAUAUCUGGAGGAACACCGGUGGCGAAGGCGGCAUCCUGGACCAACACUGACGCUGAGUGAGCGAAAGCCAGGGGAGCAAACGGG
RNAcentral lists this ribosomal RNA (254 nucleotides) under uncultured bacterium. Its description in RNAcentral is "partial 16S ribosomal RNA". It matches the Rfam family "Bacterial small subunit ribosomal RNA", at positions 524 to 776 of the family's 1533-position model. The record is from RNAcentral.